AAAGAAUUCAUUCCCUGAAAUCGGGUUUAACACUUUUGGUUCAUACAAAUCAUAUUAUUAAAAAGUUGUAUAUAUUCACUAAAAAUGAAAUUCGAUGUAAAGAAGAAAAGAAAAUCAUUCCCUGGACAUGAAGGGUCAAGUACUUGUUAGGGAAGGACGGUUUAGUUGGGUUUGUUUUUGACCCUAUAGAGCCAAGAGAGGCUGCAUUUAUCCAUUAGAGUACAGAUGGCAGUAAAUGGUAAGCUAGUUAGGAUGCCAAGUGGACCACCCGUGGCACUUAUCCCUUACUAUAGUUGAAAAAAAAAAGUAAGAUUGAGAGAAUAAACUGUGACUGAGAGGAAACUUAAUAGCAAAAUUCCUUCAUUUCUUUUGAUUUUAAAAGAGAAAACGAAAAAAAGAAAAAGAAGGGAAUUCUUUACCAUAGUCAUACAGCACCUUUUUUGGUUUGAUGAUGAUAGGCACAUGGGCUGCACUGCAAUGUCAACUAAUUUUGUGUGUAUAUAUUUGAUGGUCUACUGAGACAGUUAUACAUCCCUCCCAUAUACUGUGAUCUUCACGUGCACUGCCGAUUUCCCUUUGUAUUUUCUCUGCAAAUCUUAUCUGUUUUUCUUUCUUUCUUUCAACUGGUGUAGUCUUUUCUUGGAAGGCGUUGGUACAUUGUAUUUGAUUUAGUUUUUGGACCUUUGUUUUACUUCGGGGCUGGUUUUGACAAAGAAGAAAAAGCAAUGGAGACUAAGAGACAAGUUGGUUCUUCUUCCUCGUUCACAGCUGAUCUUUUUGGCUCCAAAGAUUCAUCAUCUUCAUCAUCAAAAGGGAUUUUCAGUUCCAUUUUUCCACCUCCAUCUUCGAUUGGAGGGAAGAACUCCUCAGGCUCCAAGGUGCUGGAAUCAUGGCCAAAGCAGCCUUUAGAAGGUUCAGCUUGGAGACAAGGUAUGCAAGCUCCACUGCAAAACAAGGAAGAAAGGGUUGAACCAUGCCAUUUAAGUUCAUCUCUUUACUAUGGUGGGCAAGACUUGUAUUCCCAUCCCUCGACUUGCCAAAGUACAUCUACAACAUCGUAUCCAGUUUUUAAAAAAGAUGGGGGAGAAGAUGACACUAAUGGAAACAAUUCAAUGGAUGCUUCUAGAGGGAAUUGGUGGCAAGGUACUGGUUUUCUAUUUGAAAGCUUCAAGUUGGUGAUCAGCGAAAAUCUGGGUUUAGAGUUAUUCCUAUAUCUCAGACACUUGACUUGGAUUUCUACAGGAAUUCAUAAAGCAAAGCAAAGCCAAUAAUCAUGGAAGAACAUAAAAGCAUGAAUAAGUUGCCGACUCUUUGGAUUUCAAAUCGUUUCAGUAAUACCUUUUUCAUAAUUUUUCUCUGGAAAAUGAAGCUUGAGAAGUCCUUUAUAUGUAAAAGAUCAUGCUUGAGAUUCUGCAUCAAAAAUACCAUAUUUUUGCUUUGUAUCAAAGUUACACAGCAAAAAUUGAAAAACAAGUAUCUUUUUCCACAAUUCAUGCAAAGGCACUACUCAAGUCAAUACUCAUCAUCCGUCUCCAUAUCCAAAUAAUAGAAAUAGAAGGAAAAAACUGUAAAGACUCCAACAACUCAAAAAAGUCCUCAAACUGAAAUCUGCAACGAAGCCAAAACCGACCUCCAACAACAACGAAAAUCUGAAACCAACACAAGACAGGCACGAAUUCCAUGCCCAGUGAUGUCUUUGCAGGGGGAAAAAAAGGCGUUUCGCCGUUGCCGGGGAUCGAACCCGGGUCGCCCGCGUGACAGGCGGGAAUACUCACCACUAUACUACAACGACUUAGUUGAUGUCGGGGCUUCAAAGUACUGAGUUUUCUUACAAUAACUUGUGCACUAGGUCCUUGUUGUCCAACUGGCUUGGUCGAAGGAGGUAGAGGAAAUGGGAAAUGGCAAGAAUAAAUGCAAGUUGGUUGCAUCAGUGAUGUGACCAAAGGAUCCAAUAAUAUUCAUCAAGGCACCAUUAGUUUCUGCAUGAUAUCCAUCUAUGAUUUAAGAAGCCAAUACAAUAUCAAUCAAGUUGAAAA
This is an RNA transcript of Gossypium arboreum, 2036 nucleotides long. RefSeq lists it as uncharacterized. The record is from RefSeq and is a predicted model, not a curated record. The transcript has 6 exons. NCBI's taxonomy places the organism in Eukaryota, Viridiplantae, Streptophyta, Magnoliopsida, Malvales, Malvaceae.